GAGCUCUCUUCAGCUGCUGAUGGCCGGGACAGCAGGACUCACUGUGGAUCUUUAUUUCUUCAGGACUUUUUCUUAAUGUAGAUUCAGCAGGAUUUUAUAAACAUUCUGGAUCAUUCUGCAUUUCUCCUCUUCUCACAGAUUCAAAUGGAGUGUAUAAAGGAAAAAACACAUAGAAAACUGCCAUCAGAAACCACAGACAAGCAAAAACCAACAGGACAAAGAUAGAAAAAUGGAGGACAGAAAUGAAACACAGACCACUGGAUCUCAAGAGAAAAGCAGACAGAGACUUGAUAGAUGUGACAGUAUGAAGAUGUUAAAGCCAUUCUUCUCUCGUGAUCCAGACGGGCAGGUAAAGUUUCAUUCUGAUGUCAAAAGUGCUUCAGCAUGUUCUCAAGAACACACAACAUCACUGAGACACCAGCAGCAGAAGACCUGAUCAUCAUCAUCAUCAUCUUCAUCAUCACAGACUCCAUCACUCAGAAUACAGUCUCUUCAGCUCCAGGACUGUUUUCAGACUCAUCUGAUCACAAACUAACAGACCAAUGAACCGUUUCUUUCUCAGAUCUGUAUCUGAGAACCGUUUUAUUGAUCUGGAGCUGCACUUUAUGUGAUCAUUUUCACAUCUGCAUCACACAGAGCUUCUUUUUUUCCUUUGACAAAAUAUGAGUUUCAGUUUGUGCUGCCUCAUAUUUCAUGCAUUUUUUAUUUACUAUUUGUGUUUUUGUAUUUCUGUAUAUUGUGAUUAAUUUAAGAGAUUCUAUCCACCUUAUUUAAUUUUAACAGAAAUGCAGGUGUGACUGUUUGUUAUUAAAUGUAAAUAGCCAGUAUCUGGCUUCCGCUGUUGUACAGUUCCAGUUAUUUUUAGCUCGUUUUGCUGCCUGACAUUGCAAAAACCAGUACUGUAUUGCAGAGAUUCUCAACUCUGGCCCUCGGGAUCCACUUUCCUGCAGAGUUGAGCUCCAACCCUGAUCAAACUCACCUGCCUGUGACUUUCUAGAGAUCCUGGAGACCUUGAUGAACCUGUUCAGGUGUGUUCAAUGAGGGCUGGAGCUCAACUCUGCAGGAAGUGCACCUCGAGGGUCAGCGUUCAGAAACAACUGCUGUAUUGCUUGCCAUGUUAUUUUAAUGUAUUGUCAUAAUUAUAAAACACCGGUCUGUAGUGUGAAUAUCUUUACCGUUUACAGCACUCUAAUCAUAUUUAUUUCCAUAUAGAAGCUAAUGAAAAUAAAGAAUUGCACAUUCACAGAAAAUUGCUUAAUUCCGUGUUGCAAAAUAAUGUGGAUAUAUCUCUGUCUAUUUUCGUACCCCUCCAUACUGUUUACUGUACAUGCAUUCAUUACUCAUCUUUUCAGUCUAUUCUAAAAGAAUGCAGCAACUAUUUUGUUUGUACGACUGAGUUAUGCAAAACUAAUCUGCAUAAUUUUUAUCCAUUCUCAAACCACUUGUCAUGUGUGAGUUCAUGGUGGUGCUGGAGCUUACAACAGAACCUCGAAGGAUUGAGACAAUCUGAACAGACAGCGCUCCAUUACAGGACUCAUGCACUCACAGAGAUAUACGCAUAUUCAUGCCAUUCAUUUUUAUAUAAUACACUGUGAAAGAGCAUUUCUGUCAUUUAUGGCUCAGAUGACUGGCCUUAAUUAAUUGUAAU
Cyprinus carpio carpio is the source of this 1648-nucleotide long non-coding RNA. The record is from Ensembl. NCBI's taxonomy places the organism in Eukaryota, Metazoa, Chordata, Actinopteri, Cypriniformes, Cyprinidae.